This 209-nucleotide long non-coding RNA is filed under the name Elaeis guineensis (African oil palm). RNAcentral's name for it is "long non-coding RNA (EGUI_LNC038137)". The record is from RNAcentral. Lineage: Eukaryota; Viridiplantae; Streptophyta; Magnoliopsida; Arecales; Arecaceae.
GCAGCGGAAAAAGGGAGAGAUGAUGAUGCGGUGGAUGGAGAAGCCGAGGGCCCUCAGUUUCUUCUCGAGUGGAGGAGGCUUCAUUGCCAUUGAAAGUUUUGGCCGGUGGAUUGUUUCGUCACCACCGCAUGGAAAUCCAUGAAGGAGGCCUGGAGGGAGAAAACUCUCAAAGGGUUGCGAGGUGUGAGUCUUGAGAAACGGGGCGCAUC